This 68-nucleotide transfer RNA is filed under the name Arctonyx collaris. RNAcentral describes it as "tRNA-Arg". It matches the Rfam family "tRNA". Rfam says of the family: Transfer RNA (tRNA) molecules are approximately 80 nucleotides in length. Their secondary structure includes four short double-helical elements and three loops (D, anti-codon, and T loops). Lineage: Eukaryota; Metazoa; Chordata; Mammalia; Carnivora; Mustelidae. The record is from RNAcentral.
UGAUAAUUAGUUUAAUCAAAACAAAUGAUUUCGACUCAUUAGAUUGUAAACCAUCUUACAAUUAUCAA